CCAUCCUGCAGAUGAAGGUUUAACCUCACAGCUCAGAGUCACUGAGGCUCCAGGACUCAGCCAUGAUGGAGACACAAACAGUGUGGGCUGUGGUGCAUGGA
This is a long non-coding RNA of Poecilia latipinna (sailfin molly), 101 nucleotides long. RefSeq lists it as uncharacterized. The record is from RefSeq and is a predicted model, not a curated record. NCBI's taxonomy places the organism in Eukaryota, Metazoa, Chordata, Actinopteri, Cyprinodontiformes, Poeciliidae. The transcript has 5 exons.